This 275-nucleotide ribosomal RNA is filed under the name uncultured prokaryote. RNAcentral's name for it is "partial 16S ribosomal RNA". It matches the Rfam family "Bacterial small subunit ribosomal RNA", at positions 524 to 798 of the family's 1533-position model. The record is from RNAcentral.
UACGGAGGAUGCGAGCGUUAUCCGGAUUUAUUGGGUUUAAAGGGUGCGCAGGCGGGAGAUUAAGUCGGCGGUGAAAUUUUGCAGCUCAACUGUAAAAGUGCCUUCGAAACUGGUUUCCUUGAGUGUAUAUGAAGUAGGCGGAAUUUGUGGUGUAGCGGUGAAAUGUAUAGAUAUCACGAGGAACUCCGAUUGCGCAGGCAGCUUACUAAACCAUAACUGACGCUCAGGCACGAAGGCGUGGGGAUCAAACAGGAUUAGAUACCCCCGUAGUCCCU